Suncus etruscus (white-toothed pygmy shrew) is the source of this 107-nucleotide small nuclear RNA. Lineage: Eukaryota; Metazoa; Chordata; Mammalia; Eulipotyphla; Soricidae. The record is from RefSeq and is a predicted model, not a curated record.
GUGCUCACUUCAUCAGCAUGUAUACUAAAAUUGGAACAACACAGAGAAGAUUAGCAUGGCCUCUAUGCAAGGAUGACAUGCAAAUUUGUGAAGUGUUUCAUAUUUUU